This 404-nucleotide long non-coding RNA is filed under the name Mytilus galloprovincialis (Mediterranean mussel). The record is from RNAcentral. Lineage: Eukaryota; Metazoa; Mollusca; Bivalvia; Mytilida; Mytilidae.
CUUGUGUGUAAAUAUAGUUCCAAAACAGAAUAAAUAGAAUCGAGAACAGAACCACGUGUUUAUCACAUGGAGUCAUUUUAACAUUUAAUACUUUUAAAUUUUAAAUUGUCGUGGGUGUGAAAAUUCGUUGACCAAACGGUAGUCAAAACUGACAGAAUCAACAAACCCCUUAAUCAAGCCCCUGAUAAACCCAUAUCCAUUUGAUUAAAUGAUCAAUCGGAUUAAAUCGAUAUUUAUGGGGAUCAAUAAGAAAUUCCCCCUUUUCCAAUAAUGAUGUAAAACAACCAGACUGUGUCAUCAGACUAAAAAAAGAUAUUAUUGUAAUAUUUACUGUGAGUUUUCUGGCGUUUCAAGUUCCGAUCGUUGGAAUAGACCCCCUGCGUUAAAAGAGGAUAUGAAUGGGG